GCAGGGCCACCGAUGGCCGGAUGUUGUUGAUGUCAAUAGUAGAGACGCAGUCUGCCUUGCU
RNAcentral lists this transfer RNA (61 nucleotides) under Helix pomatia (Roman snail). RNAcentral describes it as "tRNA-Ile". Lineage: Eukaryota; Metazoa; Mollusca; Gastropoda; Stylommatophora; Helicidae. The record is from RNAcentral.